This 77-nucleotide transfer RNA is filed under the name Shewanella algae. RNAcentral's name for it is "tRNA-Val(gac)". It matches the Rfam family "tRNA". Rfam says of the family: Transfer RNA (tRNA) molecules are approximately 80 nucleotides in length. Their secondary structure includes four short double-helical elements and three loops (D, anti-codon, and T loops). The record is from RNAcentral. Lineage: Bacteria; Pseudomonadati; Pseudomonadota; Gammaproteobacteria; Alteromonadales; Shewanellaceae. RNAcentral also lists the same sequence under 79 other names.
ACACCCGUAGCUCAGCUGGUUAGAGCACUACCUUGACAUGGUAGGGGUCGGUGGUUCGAGUCCACUCGGGUGUACCA